RNAcentral lists this long non-coding RNA (961 nucleotides) under Meriones unguiculatus (Mongolian gerbil). RNAcentral's name for it is "lncRNA (ENSMUGG00000023905.1)". The record is from RNAcentral. Lineage: Eukaryota; Metazoa; Chordata; Mammalia; Rodentia; Muridae.
CUGAUCUUUCCUGGUAAUCUGAGUAAGGUGAAUAGAUACUUGGUGACGAGACCGGUCUUAUUGUCUCCCAUUGGCACGUAAGAAAAAAGAUUGACAGUAUCAAGUGAACGGAAUGUAGGGGGUGGGCUGCAAUGUUAAUGGGAGGGGUAGCCAAAGGCUGGAGCUCAUUGAUGACGCGGCCCUCACGUGACCUGCAGUCGACGUGUGCAGAAGUCCUUAUAAUCCAGGCCCAGUUCCUCAGUAGCAGCUCAGUCUUGCUAAAGAGGAGGGGCCCGGCUUCUUUCAGGACUCUUGAUCUUUUGGGCGCGACAUAAAAUCGAGGUUCAAGAAGAGAAAAAAAUCUCCAGAUACCUACAGGUCAGUGCAAGGGUGCGAUUGCUUCAGGUCCCUUUGGGUGGGGGUAGAAGUGUGGAAGACACCAAAGCACAUCCCAGGGGCGCCACAGCCUCUUCUUAUCCGGAUAUCUGCACGGGAGGCCAGUGCAGAUCCUGCUGCGGAAAUGAGGUGAAAAAGGGAAAGGGAGAGGAAAAAAAACAUUUAAAAGAGAGAGAGGAGGCCGCUGAGCGUACUGUUUGCUGGUUAGAGGCUGCGGAUGGGAUGACUUGGAAAAGCCUGAAAGGGCGGGAGUGUUAGAGCCUUGUGGGAAGGGAUGGGUUAAUUGCUUCCCCGCCGCUCCCAUUUCGGUGCUAGGAGAGGUUUAUUGCAGGGCCUGCUGGGAAAAUGGUGGGCUGGAGCCGGGACAGGAGAAGAUGGAGUUAGAGAGCUAGGAGAAGGGGGAGGGAAGGGAGGUGGAGGAAGGGGUGGAGUCAGGAGCUCAGAGCCUGACUUUGCUAGUUAGAAAACUUUUUUGCUGUUAGAGACUUGAAUCAGAAAAGUCCGUCGCUAUGGGAACGGGAGAGCCUGUCCAGUUGCCUGGCACCAAGUCGGUUUUGUUUGCUUGUUUUGUUUUUUUUUUCUAGGA